Molecule: long non-coding RNA, 202 nt
Filed under: Lathyrus oleraceus (garden pea)
Lineage: Eukaryota; Viridiplantae; Streptophyta; Magnoliopsida; Fabales; Fabaceae
Description: Pisum sativum (pea) long non-coding RNA (PSAT_LNC032298)
Source: RNAcentral
CUUCUCCAUCAAUCCCUGAUAAUCCUAAUCAGAGCGAGAAAGUGGUAUGGUUGAGAUUCAAUUGUAAACAUUGUUCCCUAAUGUGUAAUUGAAUCAAGAAUUCAGAUUUUAACCACUUUUAUUGUUCUUUCUCUUCUCUUUUAUCUUUUCCUUUACUUUGUGACAUUCUUAUUAAUCAAGAAACCGAUCAUACUCUAUUAUU